AAUGGGCGCAAGCCUGAUCCAGCAAUGCCGCGUGUGUGAAGAAGGCCUGCGGGUUGUAAAGCACUUUUGUUCGGGAAGAAAUCAUGCUGGUUAAUACCUGGUAUGGAUGACGGUACCGAAAGAAUAAGCACCGGCUAACUUCGUGCCAGCAGCCGCGGUAAUACGAAGGGUGCAAGCGUUAAUCGGAAUUACUGGGCGUAAAGGGUGCGUAGGCGGCCUUUUAAGUCGGAUGUGAAAUCCCCGGGCUCAACCUGGGAAUGGCAUUCGAUACUGGGAGGCUAGAGUUUGGGAGAGGGUGGUGGAAUUCCCGGUGUAGCGGUGAAAUGCGUAGAGAUCGGGAGGAACAUCAGUGGCGAAGGCGGCCACCUGGCCUAAAACUGACGCUGAGGCACGAAAGCGUGGGGAGCAAA
RNAcentral lists this ribosomal RNA (410 nucleotides) under uncultured bacterium. Its description in RNAcentral is "bacterial SSU rRNA". It matches the Rfam family "Bacterial small subunit ribosomal RNA", at positions 370 to 772 of the family's 1533-position model. The record is from RNAcentral.